UGCCUCCAGAUUCCUUACCUCUCAGAACUAAUAUUGGUCUGAGUGGCUAAAAAGGAGGAAAAGUAAACUGAAAUGGACUUGGAUGGAGUCUUUAGUGCAAUACAAGUUCAUUUCAAAUAAAC
RNAcentral lists this small nucleolar RNA (122 nucleotides) under Echinops telfairi (small Madagascar hedgehog). RNAcentral's name for it is "Small nucleolar RNA SNORA61 (ENSETEG00000026746.1)". Lineage: Eukaryota; Metazoa; Chordata; Mammalia; Afrosoricida; Tenrecidae. The record is from RNAcentral.